GACGCUGGCGGCAGGCUUAACCAUGCAAGGUCGAGCGGGGGAAGGUAGCUUGCUACCGGACCUAGCGGCGGACGGGUGAGUAAUGCUUAGGAAUCUGCCUAUUAGUGGGGGACAACAUCUCGAAAAGGGAUGCUAAUACCGCAUACGUCCUACGGGAGAAAGCAGGGGAUCUUCGGGACCUUGCGCUAAUAAGAUGAGCCUAAAGUCGGAUUAGCUAGUUGGUGGGGUAAAGGCCUACCAAGGCGACGAUCUGUAGCGGUCUGAGAGGAUGAUCCGCCACACUGGGGACUGAGACACGGCCCAGACUCCUACGGGAGGCAGAGUGGGGAAUAUUGGCAAUUGGGGGGAACCUGAUCCAGCCAUGCCCGUGUGUGAAGAAGCCUUAUGGUUUAAAGCACUUUAAGCGAGGAGAGGUACUUAGUUAUACUAAAGAUAGGGNCUUACCCCAGAUAANACGGUACCUGUCAACCGGAAA
This 475-nucleotide ribosomal RNA is filed under the name Acinetobacter baumannii. RNAcentral describes it as "bacterial SSU rRNA". It matches the Rfam family "Bacterial small subunit ribosomal RNA", at positions 33 to 523 of the family's 1533-position model. The record is from RNAcentral. Lineage: Bacteria; Pseudomonadati; Pseudomonadota; Gammaproteobacteria; Moraxellales; Moraxellaceae.